GGGUAUCUACUGUAUAAGGGUGAGUUAUCUGUGUGUUCUGUUGUAGGGCAGGGCUGGGUAUUUACUGUAUAGGGGUGAGUUAUCUGUGUUCUGUUGUAGGGCUGGGUAUCUACUGUAUAAGGGUGAGUUAUCUGUGUUCUGUUGCAGGGCUGGGUAUCUACUGUAUAAGGGUGAGUUAUCUGUGUGUUCUGUUGUAGGGCAGGGUAUCUACUGUAUAAUAUGCCUUAAGGUUCCCACUGUAGUAGAGAGCUGAUUCACCUAACCUAGCCAUGCGUAGAUGCAGCCCCUUCACACACCAGAGGUCUUUCCUUCAUGUUAUCUCUUAGUCCUUC
Oncorhynchus tshawytscha (Chinook salmon) is the source of this 332-nucleotide long non-coding RNA. NCBI's taxonomy places the organism in Eukaryota, Metazoa, Chordata, Actinopteri, Salmoniformes, Salmonidae. The record is from Ensembl.